UACGUAUGGAGCAAGCGUUAUCCGGAUUUACUGGGUGUAAAGAGUGCGUAGGUGGCAGUGCAAGUCAGAUGUGAAAGGCCGGGGCUCAACCCCGGAGCUGCAUUUGAAACUGCUCGGCUAGAGUACAGGAGAGGCAGGCGGAAUUCCUAGUGUAGCGGUGAAAUGCGUAGAUAUUAGGAGGAACACCAGUGGCGAAGGCGGCCUGCUGGACUGUUACUGACACUGAGGCACGAAAGCGUGGGGAGCAAACAGG
RNAcentral lists this ribosomal RNA (253 nucleotides) under Anaerobutyricum hallii. RNAcentral describes it as "partial 16S ribosomal RNA". It matches the Rfam family "Bacterial small subunit ribosomal RNA", at positions 524 to 776 of the family's 1533-position model. Lineage: Bacteria; Bacillati; Bacillota; Clostridia; Lachnospirales; Lachnospiraceae. The record is from RNAcentral.